GGGUCAGUAGGUUGGUCGUGCCACCGGUACGUACUGGUCUCACUGAUUCCUCUUUCCUGAAGAACCGUAAUGCCAUUAAUUUGGUGUUGCGGGGAAACAGGACUGUUACUUUGAAAAAAUUAGAGUGUUUAAAGCAAGCUAACGCUUGAAUACAUGAGCAUGGAAUAAUGAAAUAGGACGAUCGAUCCUAUUUUGUUGGUUUCUAGGAUUGACGUA
This 216-nucleotide ribosomal RNA is filed under the name Glomeromycotina sp. RNAcentral describes it as "partial small subunit ribosomal RNA". The stretch from base 40 to 216 matches the Rfam family "Eukaryotic small subunit ribosomal RNA", at positions 686 to 864 of the family's 1831-position model. Lineage: Eukaryota; Fungi; Glomeromycota. The record is from RNAcentral.